Molecule: ribosomal RNA, 451 nt
Filed under: uncultured Hyphomicrobiales bacterium
Lineage: Bacteria; Pseudomonadati; Pseudomonadota; Alphaproteobacteria; Hyphomicrobiales
Description: uncultured Rhizobiales bacterium partial 16S ribosomal RNA
Source: RNAcentral
CACGAAGUUAGCCGGGGCUUCUUCUCCGGAUACCGUCAUUAUCUUCUCCGGUGAAAGUGCUUUACAACCCUAAGGCCUUCAUCACACACGCGGCAUGGCUGGAUCAGGCUUGCGCCUAUUGUCCAAUAUUCCCCACUGCUGCCUCCCGUAGGAGUUUGGGCCGUGUCUCAGUCCCAAUGUGGCUGAUCAUCCUCUCAGACCAGCUAUGGAUCGUCGCCUUGGUAGGCCUUUACCCCACCAACUAGCUAAUCCAACGCGGGCCGAUCCUUUACCGAUAAAUCUUUCCCCCGAAGGGCACAUACGGUAUUAGCUCCAGUUUCCCGGAGUUGUUCCGUAGUAAAGGGUACGUUCCCACGUGUUACUCACCCGUCUGCCACUCUCCUUGCGGAGCGUUCGACUUGCAUGUGUUAAGCCUGCCGCCAGCGUUCGUUCUGAGCCAGGAUCAAACUCU